CCUACGGGGGGCAGCAGUGGGGAAUAUUGCACAAUGGGGGAAACCCUGAUGCAGCGACGCCGCGUGAGUGAAGAAGUAUCUCGGUACGUAAAGCUCUAUCAGCAGGGAAGAAAAUGACGGUACCUGACUACGAAGCCCCGGCUAACUACGUGCCAGCAGCCGCGGUAAUACGUAGGGGGCAAGCGUUAUCCGGAUUUACUGGGUGUAAGGGGUGUGUAGGUGGGUUGAUAAGUUAGAUGUGUAAUACCCAGGGCUUAACUCGGGUGCUGCAUCUAAAACUGUUAGACUUGAGUACUGGAGAGGAGAGUGGAAUUCCUAGUGUAGCGGUGGAAUGCGUAGAUAUUAGGAGGAACAUCAGUGGCGAAGGCGACUAUCUGGACAGCAACUGACACUGAGGCACGAAAGCGUGGGGAGCAAACAGGAUUAGAUACCCUUGUAGUC
Molecule: ribosomal RNA, 441 nt
Filed under: uncultured bacterium
Lineage: Bacteria
Description: partial 16S ribosomal RNA
Rfam family: Bacterial small subunit ribosomal RNA
Source: RNAcentral